GUGGGUGUAGCUCAGUGAUAGAGCACACGCUUAGCAUGCACAAGGUCCUGGGUUCAAUCCCCAGUACCUCCU
RNAcentral lists this transfer RNA (72 nucleotides) under Camelus bactrianus (Bactrian camel). It matches the Rfam family "tRNA". Rfam says of the family: Transfer RNA (tRNA) molecules are approximately 80 nucleotides in length. Their secondary structure includes four short double-helical elements and three loops (D, anti-codon, and T loops). The record is from Rfam by way of RNAcentral. RNAcentral also lists the same sequence under 2 other names. Lineage: Eukaryota; Metazoa; Chordata; Mammalia; Artiodactyla; Camelidae.